RNAcentral lists this long non-coding RNA (269 nucleotides) under Mytilus galloprovincialis (Mediterranean mussel). Lineage: Eukaryota; Metazoa; Mollusca; Bivalvia; Mytilida; Mytilidae. The record is from RNAcentral.
GCUGAAACAAAUAUUCUCACAGAUAUUUACAAAGUGUGGUGGGGUACUUUUAUGUUUAAAAUCGUUAUAUACAUGUUAGACUGUGAUUUUAAAAACAAAUGUUGAUAUCUUUUUAUAAUAUUUACACAAAAAAAACGGUGCGGGAAAUGGACAUGAUUACAUUUCCGGAUGCGGGAAGCAGGAAUAUAAAAAAAAUAAAAAAAUUCUGUUUUGAAAAAAAUAGGUGCGGGCGGGUCCGUCGAACAAGGAAUCAAAUUGGUGUGGCCUAA